ACGGAAGGCAGCAGUGGGAAAUAUUGCACAAUGGGGGAAACCCUGAUGCAGCGACGCCGCGUGAAGGAUGACGUAUUUCGGUAUGUAAACUUCUAUCAGCAAGGAAGAUGAUGACGGUACUUGACUAAGAAGCACCGGCUAAAUACGUGCCAGCAGCCGCGGUAAUACGUAUGGUGCAAGCGUUAUCCGGAUUUACUGGGUGUAAAGGGAGCGCAGACGGCAUGGCAAGCCAGAUGUGAAAUGCGGGGGCUCAACUCCUGAACUGCAUUUGGAACUGUCAAGCUAGAGUAUCGGAGAGGUAAGUGGAAUUCCUAGUGUAGCGGUGAAAUGCGUAGAUAUUAGGAGGAACACCAGUGGCGAAGGCGGCUUACUGGACGAUAACUGACGUUGAGGCUCGAAAGCGUGGGGAGCAAACAGGAUUAGAUACCCUGGUA
RNAcentral lists this ribosomal RNA (434 nucleotides) under uncultured Lachnospiraceae bacterium. RNAcentral's name for it is "bacterial SSU rRNA". It matches the Rfam family "Bacterial small subunit ribosomal RNA", at positions 341 to 792 of the family's 1533-position model. The record is from RNAcentral. Lineage: Bacteria; Bacillati; Bacillota; Clostridia; Lachnospirales; Lachnospiraceae.